UUCAAACAUAAUUCUUUUAUUUCUUCUUUUGAUUUUUCCUAAUUUCAUUUUUACACGCUCUAUUUUUUUUAUGGGUAAGUCUCGCACCAAAUGCAAAAUAAAGAAAAAUGCGCAAAAUUGACCAGGGCUCCCAGUGAAAUUGAGCAGAGAUUGUUGGGCGUUCACCACCUUGACAAGGACAGGGAGCCAAUUAAGAUAAGUGUUA
This 205-nucleotide long non-coding RNA is filed under the name Capsicum annuum. RNAcentral's name for it is "long non-coding RNA (CANN_LNC002142)". Lineage: Eukaryota; Viridiplantae; Streptophyta; Magnoliopsida; Solanales; Solanaceae. The record is from RNAcentral.